AUUGAACGCUGGCGGCAGGCCUAACACAUGCAAGUCGGACGGUAGCACAGAGGAGCUUGCUCCUCGGGUGACGAGUGGCGGACGGGUGAGUAAUGUCUGGGGAUCUGCCCGAUAGAGGGGGAUAACCACUGGAAACGGUGGCUAAUACCGCAUAACGUCGCAAGACCAAAGAGGGGGACCUUCGGGCCUCUCACUAUCGGAUGAACCCAGAUGGGAUUAGCUAGUAGGCGGGGUAACGGCCCACCUAGGCGACGAUCCCUAGCUGGUCUGAGAGGAUGACCAGCCACACUGGAACUGAGACACGAUCCAGACUCCUACGGGAGGCAGCAGUGGGGAAUAUUGCACAAUGGGCGCAAGCCUGAUGCAGCCAUGCCGCGUGUAUGAAGAAGGCCUUCGGGUUGUAAAGUACUUUCAGCGGGGAGGAAGGCGGUGAAGUUAAUAACUUCACCGAUUGACGUUACCCGCAGAAGAAGCACCGGCUAACUCCGUGCCAGCCGCCGCCGUAA
RNAcentral lists this ribosomal RNA (506 nucleotides) under uncultured bacterium. Its description in RNAcentral is "partial 16S ribosomal RNA". It matches the Rfam family "Bacterial small subunit ribosomal RNA", at positions 29 to 523 of the family's 1533-position model. The record is from RNAcentral.